GAUGAACGCUGGCGGCGUGCCUAACACAUGCAAGUCGAACGGGAAGGCCCCUUCUUGCCGGGGUCCUCUGGUUGCGGAAGGGUGAGUUACACGUGGGUGCUGUGUCCCGUACUUCGGGGUAAGCUUGGGCAACUGGGUGUAAUACCGGGUAGGACAACUUUUUGGUUGUUGUUGUGGCAAGUUUUUGGGGUGUUGGAUGGGGGCGCGGCCUAUUAGGGUGUUGGUGGGGGAAUGGCCGACCAAGGCGUCGACGGGGAGCCGGCCGGGGGGGGGGGAGGGCCACAAUGGGAAUGGGAAACGGCCCAGGCUCCUACGGGAGGCAGGAGGGGGGAAUAUUGCACAAUGGGCGCAAGCCUGAAGCAGCGACGCCGCGUGGGGGAUGAAGGCCUUCGGGUUGUAAACUCCUUUCGCUAGGGACGAAGCGUUUUUGUGACGGUACCUGGAGAAGAAGCACCGGCUAACUACGUG
Molecule: ribosomal RNA, 468 nt
Filed under: uncultured bacterium
Lineage: Bacteria
Description: partial 16S ribosomal RNA
Rfam family: Bacterial small subunit ribosomal RNA
Source: RNAcentral